GGUGGACGUAGCUCAGUUGGUUUAGAGCAUCAGAUUGUGGUUCUGAGGGUCGCCGGUUCGAAUCCGGUCGUCCACCCAAU
This 80-nucleotide transfer RNA is filed under the name Blattabacterium sp. (Blattella germanica) str. Bge. RNAcentral describes it as "tRNA-His". It matches the Rfam family "tRNA". From Rfam's summary of the family: Transfer RNA (tRNA) molecules are approximately 80 nucleotides in length. Lineage: Bacteria; Pseudomonadati; Bacteroidota; Flavobacteriia; Flavobacteriales; Blattabacteriaceae. The record is from RNAcentral.